This 901-nucleotide ribosomal RNA is filed under the name uncultured bacterium. RNAcentral describes it as "bacterial SSU rRNA". It matches the Rfam family "Bacterial small subunit ribosomal RNA", at positions 8 to 916 of the family's 1533-position model. The record is from RNAcentral.
AGAGUUUGAUCAUGGCUCAGGACGAACGCUGGCGGCGUGCUUAACACAUGCAAGUCGAACGGUGACCUCGAGAGCUUGCUCUUGGGUGAUCAGUGGCGAACGGGUGAGUAACACGUGAGGAACCUGCCCCAGACUCUGGAAUAACCCCGGGAAACCGGAGCUAAUACCGGAUACGACAUCAGGCCGCAUGGUCAUGGUGUGGAAAGUUUUUCGGUCUGGGAUGGCCUCGCGGCCUAUCAGCUUGUUGGUGAGGUAGUGGCUCACCAAGGCGACGACGGGUAGCCGGCCUGAGAGGGCGACCGGCCACACUGGGACUGAGACACGGCCCAGACUCCUACGGGAGGCAGCAGUGGGGAAUAUUGCACAAUGGGCGAAAGCCUGAUGCAGCGACGCCGCGUGAGGGAUGACGGCCUUCGGGUUGUAAACCUCUUUCAGUAGGGAAGAAGCGCAAGUGACGGUACCUACAGAAGAAGCACCGGCUAACUACGUGCCAGCAGCCGCGGUAAUACGUAGGGUGCGAGCGUUGUCCGGAAUUAUUGGGCGUAAAGAGCUUGUAGGCGGUUUGUCGCGUCUGCCGUGAAAAUCCGGGGCUCAACCCCGGACUUGCGGUGGGUACGGGCAGACUAGAGUGUGGUAGGGGAGACUGGAAUUCCUGGUGUAGCGGUGAAAUGCGCAGAUAUCAGGAGGAACACCGAUGGCGAAGGCAGGUCUCUGGGCCACUACUGACGCUGAGAAGCGAAAGCGUGGGGAGCGAACAGGAUUAGAUACCCUGGUAGUCCACGCCGUAAACGUUGGGAACUAGGUGUGGGUCUCAUUCCACGAGAUCUGUGCCGCAGCUAACGCAUUAAGUUCCCCGCCUGGGGAGUACGGCCGCAAGGCUAAAACUCAAAGGAAUUGACGG